GUCAAAGCUUGUUUGGAGAGUUCUGAAUGGAAAGAGCUUGAGCCGCAGAGAAUACAAUUUGCUUGUCAGAACAAUGUCUGACAUGUUCCGUCUUGUUCCUUUCUCCGUUUUCAUCAUUGUUCCUUUCAUGGAAUUCCUUUUGCCAGUGUUCAUCAAAUUUUUCCCAGAAUGUUACCAUCAACUUUUUCAACUUCUUCAGAUAAAGAAGCAAAAAUUGUACAAAACCUAAAAAUCAAACUGGAAAUGGCAAAGUUCCUUCAAAAAACUUUGGACAACAUGUCAGUCCAUGGAGUUGAUGAUGGCAACCCAUCAGAAUCAGCUGCCAAACUCGCAGAAUUCUUCAAAAAGUAAGUUUUUUUUUUUUUUUUCAUUUCCUCCUUUCUUGCUUUGCUUUGGCACAAAACCAACUCCUAAUGUCACAACAUCGAUAAGGAGCAAAAUUCGUAAAGGCAUAGUGCUAAAAAAUUGAAACCAUUUGUCGACAUUCAGUGCUAGAAGGAAAAUAUUCUGCUGUCUUUAUCAUGUGUGUUUUAAAUGCAAUUAAAAUGCUAAUUAAAUUACUGAAUACACUGUAAAUGCUUCAAGUAUCCCUAGAAAUCGGACCUAAUGUGAGGGGAGGAAAUGUGUGCAGAAAAAUCAGACUUUAUCUUGGAAGUCCGUGGGUCAAAUUAGAAAAACUCAUAACUUGUUAUGAAACUGAGAGUAUGAUCAGUAAAAUACCUUUUAAAGUUUUGUGAGAAACUAUCACAAUCUGUAUUUGCAGAGAAAAAAUAAAAAACUUACUGACUGGGAUUCCCUUGUAUCAGUCAACUUCUUGUCCAAAUUGAGCUUCUGAUUUGCCAUCAUCUAAUUUGGUUCAUGGCACAGGACAGUAUUUCUUAAAUAUUGAUUUUUGUUUCAUUCAUGCUGGCGCCAAUUGUCCAAACUAAUGCGAAACCUCAAAUCUAGUAUAUAAGAUUCAAGGGGGGAGGGGGGAGGAUCAGGAACUUAAAUCUCUCAGCAGUGUUAUAAUUGUUUGCACAUAAUAUGAAUGAAGAAAUGUUCAAAAGCAGGCGUGGGUAAGCAGGCGGGAACAUUGGGAAAAAUCCUGAUGAGCUAGUUGAUAUCUAGGAUGAUUUCAGAACAAUUUGUCCUCUCCUCAUGGCUAAAAUACAAUUGCACAGGGUUGCCAGCGACCGGGAAAAGUCAGGGAAAAAAACCAACCGGGAAAAGACAGGGAAUUUCGGUGUUGGUCAGGGAUUUUUCUGAUUUUUCAUAGAAUUAGGCGCGGACGGUUCUAAAAUUUAAAUAGUCGAAAAUAGCUCUCAUUUUCACUUUAACAGACUGCGUCAGAUCCAUACUUAAAAGUCAGGGAAAAAUAUUGGAAAGUCAGGGAAAAGUCAGGGAAUGGAAAAAAAUAAUUUGGCUGGCAACCCUGAUUGCCACAGGGUUUGUAUUCCUGAUUUCCUGGUAAAUUUUUUAGACCCAGUCAGCCGCUGUUUGAGACAACUUGGAAGGCCCAGCUAAAAUACCGAAUCCAGCAGUUUCCAGAUUGCAUGAUUGGCAAAAAAAUCUUUGAGAAAGUGGGAAACUUUUCAUCCAAUGAAUGAUCAAUAAAAUUGACAGAAUAAUAUUGAAGAUUUAAUAAUUUCUUUUUACUUGCAAACAUUAUGAGCACUUUUGUCUGUCUGAAAUGUGAGGAAAUUCUCUAUACGCAUGACUAAUCUCAGGAUAUAUUGCAACCCAUGCAAACCGCGAUUUGGCCCCUCCCCCCCCCCCUCUUUCAGUCAAUAAGUAGAUGGGGGAUAAAAAGUGAAGUAUAUUUUAGGGUCAUCACCCACGCACAAAUAAGUAGAAUUACACUUUGUUUUUUGGUUUUUUUUUUGUUUUUUUUAGAAUUCUGUGUUGGAAUUUUUUAUGCUUGAAAAUUAUGUGCUGAGAAGAAUAUGAGAAUCUCUUAAAAGUUACAGAAAUAAACGAAAUAAGAGAAAUUCAGGCACUUUUUGCGGUUGGUGCCUCUCGCAAGUCCAUACUUUUUGUGAUCCUUGCAUCAAGCUUGAAAACGAAGAGGGAAUUCUUGAAAGUUAAAAAAAAAAGCAACCACUUGUCCUUAAGUUAAACUCAAGAUCUUAGUCAAGAUCUUCCUCAUAUAUUUUUGAAACAAAUUUGAAGGGAAACACUGCAAGCCAAAAAAUGUCAAGCUAAGUAGUUUUUUUGCACCUUUAAAUGAAUAUUACAUGAAUUUCUUGCUUUUCCUAAAUCAUAAUUUUUACGUAGAAAUGUUCAGAAAUUUUAAACAAUUGGUUUAUGAAUUUGGUGUUGUAGCAGUCAACUAGAAUCAUCAGUUACAUUGCUGCAAAAUUGCAUCUUUACUUUCUUGGCAGACUCAUGCUUGUGGAUUUUUCCUCCUUUAUAAGCUUUCAUAUCCCCUUUAAGGAAUGUGAGCCGUCAUAGAGAACUUGCAUCAUUAACCAAGUAUAACACAUAUGUGCUUGAUCAGGGACUGAGUACAGUGGCAUGUUCUGAUAUCUUUUCGAGAGCUUUAUCAAAACGGUCAGUGGUGAUGAUUGGCUCAGCAAGUUUAAGAGAAGGGAAAACAAUUAAUCCAGUCAAAAAAAUAAGUUAUCUUCCAAUUUGCAAGUUCGUGACCUCUUAUCUUCCUUCGCUGUCACAAUGACACGGUUUAUUCACUAUGAUUACAUGCUUAAUAAAGUAUCAGGAGGAGAAAAUAUCUGUUUCGUUUCGGAAAGUUAUAAGUGUUUAAAAGUAUUUCAUAGACAUCCAAUAUUUUCUCACUACUCUGAGUAGCUGUUACAGUGUAUUUAAGAGGCAAAACACCAAUUAUUUUGAGAUAUUUUGGAGUCAAUUAAAAUACCUUGGAAAGUAGGGAGGCCUCUCUUGCUAUCAGUCAAGGGGCUAAAUUUUGAGAGGGUAGAAAUUACUUGGAGUGAUUAAUGAAAGGUUUUAGAGGAAAUCAUCAACAAUUAAAUGCAGUCCUGUAGAGCUAAUUCUAAAAAUACGCCAAGUUGUGGUUUUUUCAGAUAAGCCGGAAAUCCUGGUGUGUUUUUAAGUGUUUUAACUGACAAUGAGUCAUGUUAAUUUCACUUUUCGAUGAUGGCGAUUAACCUCUCUGUAUUUUGAUUUAACAAUCAAACUGUUACAAGUGAAUUCUAUUUUAUUUAUUUACUAGUACCAGUGCUCCUCCAAAUUAUGAGCACUUCCUAAGAACUCACACUUUUGCAAAGUUAAGUUGUCAGUCAGAUGAGAAAUUUUUCACCACUUAGUCAAUUUUUUAUUUCUCGCAGAAUAACUGCCAACAGUUUUUAUGAAUGACAUGUGAUCUAUACCCGGCCACCAGUAAAGUGGUGCCAUUCCAUGAGUGUCAUUAGCUCUUGAACAGUGAUUUGUUGUUUUCAAGGUUGCCCAGUCUCUGAGUCUGUGUAACCUUGAUCUUCCCCUCUCCCUCCCAUCAAGAAGUUUCCACACUUUUAUCAUAAGCUUUCCUACCUGGUUUAUCGUUCAUUUAUCGAAUUUGAAAGACAAUGGAGGGUAAUUAUUGAGUGUUGUCAGCUUUUCUCCAUGAACUACUCACCAUCACAAAGAGACCGGAGGGUUUAAAAAAGGUCCUCAGCUCAUUUCUUUUUAUUUUCUUCUUUAUUCAUCAUUCAUUUAUUAUCAUUUUUUUAAUCAAAAUUUUCGUUUCCUCUCAUCAUCUAUCACUGUAACAACUUUAUAUUAUUGAAAAUUUUAGCAUUUUGAAUAUUUCCGAUUUUGUUUUACGGACUUUUUUACAGAAAGGAGAUCAAACCUCGUGAUUUUACUUAUAUCCUGGUGCAUCUCAUGCUUAGACAAAGAUAGUCUUUCAAUUACCCAAUUCCUUGCUUGGUCCAGGUAUUUUCAGUUUGCUGUGGUAAGAAGAUGAAAAAUAACUGCUCUGACAACUUAUUUUUAACCUUUAAAAAAAAUUUCAAAAAUGCUUGCGGAAACCUUUAAAUUUGAUUAUUUUAAAUGUAACAAGGAAUGUUACCUGCUGUAAAUUAAAUCGAAUUAAGAAAUUGAGGAGGUAUGUAAUUAGGAGCAGUUAUUCCGAGAAGCUGUUCGCAUUUUAUCAAUAUUUUAUGUUUUCUUUGGAUCACCAACAAAGGACUAGCGUCAAAUUGUACUUAUUAUUUGUUUUGUUUUUUCUG
This 4166-nucleotide long non-coding RNA is filed under the name Bemisia tabaci. RNAcentral's name for it is "lncRNA ENSSWEETPG001434". Lineage: Eukaryota; Metazoa; Arthropoda; Insecta; Hemiptera; Aleyrodidae. The record is from RNAcentral.